AUUGAACGCUGCGGCAGGCUUAACACAUGCAAGUAGAGCGAGCGGCGGACGGGUGAGUAAUGCAUAGGAAUCUGACCAUUCGUGGGGGAGAACAUCUCCAAAGGGAUGCUAAUCCCGCACACCAAUAGCUGCACUUAGGUAGGAUUCGCUAGUUGGUGGGGUAAAGGCCGACCAAGGCGACGAUCUGUAGCGGGACUGAGAGGAUGAUCCGCCACACUGGGACUGAGACACGGCCCAGACUCCUACGGGAGGCAGCAGUGGGGAAUAUUGGGCAAUGGGGGGAAGCCUGAUCCAGCCAUGCCGCGGGUGUGAAGAAGGCCUUAUGGUUGUAAAGCACUUUUAGUGAGGAAGCGUUACUCGCCGAGAAAGCACCGGCUAACUCCGUGCCAGCAGCCGCGGUAAUAC
RNAcentral lists this ribosomal RNA (405 nucleotides) under uncultured bacterium. RNAcentral describes it as "partial 16S ribosomal RNA". It matches the Rfam family "Bacterial small subunit ribosomal RNA", at positions 30 to 526 of the family's 1533-position model. The record is from RNAcentral.